RNAcentral lists this ribosomal RNA (465 nucleotides) under uncultured bacterium. RNAcentral's name for it is "partial 16S ribosomal RNA". It matches the Rfam family "Bacterial small subunit ribosomal RNA", at positions 28 to 507 of the family's 1533-position model. The record is from RNAcentral.
GACGAACGCUGGCGGCGUGCUUAACACAUGCAAGUCGAACGGAAAGGCCCCUUUGGGGGUACUCGAGUGGCGAACGGGUGAGUAACACGUGAGUAACCUGCCCUUGACUUCGGGAUAACUUCAGGAAACUGGGGCUAAUACCGGAUAGGAAUCCUUGCUGCAUGGUGGGGGUUGGAAAGCUUCGGCGGGUUUGGAUGGACUCGCGGCUUAUCAGCUUGUUGGUGGGGUAGUGGCUUACCAAGGCUUUGACGGGUAGCCGGCCUGAGAGGGCGACCGGCCACAUUGGGACUGAGAUACGGCCCAGACUCCUACGGGAGGCAGCAGUGGGGAAUAUUGCAAAAUGGGCGGAAGCCUGAUGCAGCAACGCCGCGUGCGGGAUGACGGCCUUCGGGUUGUAAACCGCUUUCAGCAGGGGCGAAGCUUGUGGUGACGGUACCUGCAGAAGAAGCACCGGCUAACUACGUG